GCAUUACUAGCUUAACGGUAAAGCUCUACAAUGUCACUGUAGAAGAUGUCAGUUCAAAUCUGAUGUAUUGCG
RNAcentral lists this transfer RNA (72 nucleotides) under Candida sojae. Its description in RNAcentral is "tRNA-Asp". It matches the Rfam family "tRNA". From Rfam's summary of the family: Transfer RNA (tRNA) molecules are approximately 80 nucleotides in length. Their secondary structure includes four short double-helical elements and three loops (D, anti-codon, and T loops). Lineage: Eukaryota; Fungi; Ascomycota; Pichiomycetes; Serinales; Debaryomycetaceae. The record is from RNAcentral.